CAGGCCAAGCAGUUUCUUUAUUGAUUAGCCAAUAAAAGCAACAUAUAUACAAAAGGACCUCCUACAUUAAAAAUUUAGAUAAGGAACAGACCUAGCGACUAUGAUUCAACUUGUAAGAAGAACCCACUGAUUUCUGUUAAGCCUCAAAAUGAGUCCUCAGAGAUAAGGAUUUUCUAGAGUUCACUGAAGAGUUAGAGACUGUCUAGUGAGUGCCGGGACUUCCUCCUCAUAAGAUUCAGCUAACGAUAUGGACAUCCUAAAAUAUGAAGAAGAGUUAGAUGGUGAGGCAAUUCUAGGAGCUUAUGAGAUAUGUACAGCUGAGUACAACCUUGAGGAAACAUCAGUGCUUCCAUAUCCACUUAGCCUGUUGGAAGUUUGUUAUGAGAUUUGCCUUACACUCUCAAAGAUUAGAAAUCAACUGACCCCAUCAUUGCUGCCCAUAUAUGGACUAUAAAGACAACCUGAAAAAGAAGAGGAAACCUAGCUGUUGACAGCCAUCCAGACACAUUGAAGAAGGCUCUUUUUGCUGCCGGAACUCUCCAAGACUCAACACAAGAUGAGGAAGCUCUAAAGAAGAGUUGGAAGUUGAAGUGCAGUAAUGGAACCUUCCUUCACUGAAUAAGGAUUGUUUCAAACUUUCUUCCUACUACGUAUAAUAUAAGACAUUACCCUCUGAACAAAGGAGUCUCGGGCUUAUCUUAUCUGACCAACGGCUUCUUAGACUGAAAAUAACCGUCCAACCACUUGGGAAACAGGCAAUGAUUACUGCCCAGCCUUUCAGAAGCCCACAAAAGGUAAGGAUAUUCUCAAUACUGAAAAAGAUUUGGAAGCUGACCAGGCAGGACCAGCCCUUCCUCUGCUCCACAAGGUAUUUACUUUAUGCUCAAUGGGAAAUUGCCUUUCCUAUUUCAUUGCACAUUGCCAUAGACUUCACACCUCUGAAAAAUAGGUGUAGACCUUCAGCUGUGCACAAAAUAUCUCAGAAAUUCCAGUUGUAACAAGAGUGCAUUCAUAGUUCUCAUUAUUCCCAUGAAUUCUGCCACAUUACAUUUUUUUAUUAAGGGCAUAAUAGUCCUUCUAUUUCUGUCCAAAGCACCAAGGGCCUACCCCAUCUUACAUACUGAGAGUUAGACAUUCACAUCAAUAGAGAGUGCCUCAGGCCUGCCUUGUGUGAUCAAGGAAAUUUCAUAGUUGAUUUCAUACUUAUAACUUCUAAUUUGGGUGGCCUGGACAGUACUGUUCUGACUAAAGAGAUCUCAGAUCUCUCUGGACCGAGGUCCCUGAACACAAGAACAGAAAGAUGAGGGUAACUCAGGCUACUGUCUUCACUCUAGUCCCUUAGACAGAGAAUUCCUGUCCUACAAGAGGAGAAAUUUGUGGAUGGGCCUAUACUAGAUGAAGAAACUGAGUCACAGACUACUGUCGUGCGGCUUUUAGAAGACUUCUAAGACUGCUGACAUGCCUGACAUGGACAUUCAGAAAAUGUGUAUUCUAGACUGUGAUUUUCAGAUCUGAGCAGCUGAACAUAUGCUUGAGAAGGAGAACAAGCUUGGGACUCUCAUGCAGACUUUUGGAAAAUACUGACUUCUGCCUCACCUACCACACAUUCACUACAGUGGACAGAUGUUGGAGUAUCUGAUGAAGAGCUGGAGGCUUAGGCAGUUCCUGGAAUGGGCUCCACUGUAUGAGUUUGAGGCCUCAGAGUGCAAGAGUAGCAAGGAGAGUCUGGAAAACAGCCAUCAGUCUUGAGGGCAUUCAUCAGAACAUCAGAAGUGGACUGCUCCCAACCUUAGUGCCCUGAACAGGAUGACUGAACACCAACCCGUGAGGCUGAAAAAGCGACAGACACCAGCCAUGCUCCUGCAACAAUGUUCAGAUUACUGCAUAUCCUUCUGAAGAUGCCACAGAUGAUAUUGUUACUUUGUUGUAGUUGUUAUUAUUUUGAUUGUUGUUCUCUUCUUGGUGUUAUUGUUUUCUUUUAAGCUUAAAAGAGGACACCUUGAUAUUUUCUUGGUAUGUUAAUUAUCUACUGGCAUUAAAA
Non-coding RNA from Myodes glareolus (Bank vole), 2041 nucleotides. The record is from RefSeq and is a predicted model, not a curated record. NCBI's taxonomy places the organism in Eukaryota, Metazoa, Chordata, Mammalia, Rodentia, Cricetidae.